This 671-nucleotide ribosomal RNA is filed under the name Photobacterium sp. HZBC64. RNAcentral's name for it is "bacterial SSU rRNA". It matches the Rfam family "Bacterial small subunit ribosomal RNA", at positions 405 to 1068 of the family's 1533-position model. The record is from RNAcentral. Lineage: Bacteria; Pseudomonadati; Pseudomonadota; Gammaproteobacteria; Vibrionales; Vibrionaceae.
AUGAAGAAGGCCUUCGGGUUGUAAAGUACUUUCAGUUGUGAGGAAGGCAGUAAAGUUAAUAGCUUUGCUGUUUGACGUUAGCAACAGAAGAAGCACCGGCUAACUCCGUGCCAGCAGCCGCGGUAAUACGGAGGGUGCGAGCGUUAAUCGGAAUUACUGGGCGUAAAGCGCAUGCAGGUGGUCUGUUAAGCAAGAUGUGAAAGCCCGGGGCUCAACCUCGGAACAGCAUUUUGAACUGGCAGACUAGAGUACUGUAGAGGGGGGUAGAAUUUCAGGUGUAGCGGUGAAAUGCGUAGAGAUCUGAAGGAAUACCGGUGGCGAAGGCGGCCCCCUGGACAGAUACUGACACUCAGAUGCGAAAGCGUGGGGAGCAAACAGGAUUAGAUACCCUGGUAGUCCACGCCGUAAACGAUGUCUACUUGGAGGUUGUGGCCUUGAGCCGUGGCUUUCGGAGCUAACGCGUUAAGUAGACCGCCUGGGGAGUACGGUCGCAAGAUUAAAACUCAAAUGAAUUGACGGGGGCCCGCACAAGCGGUGGAGCAUGUGGUUUAAUUCGAUGCAACGCGAAGAACCUUACCUACUCUUGACAUCCAGAGAAUUCGCUAGAGAUAGCUUAGUGCCUUCGGGAACUCUGAGACAGGUGCUGCAUGGCUGUCGUCAGCUCGUGUUGU